ACGAAAACAAAACGUGAAUUAGUAGUCUAGGUGACUUUUACAGAGACCGAAUGGAAGUGAAAAUUCGGAAAUGAGCCUGGACGAACUCGUCGCGUAGUGAAUUGGUGAAAUUAGUAGCCAGUUUCGGUAACCACCGUUAUGGUUUGAGAGGCUCAUUUGAGCACAUUAGGUGGUACCGCGGAAACUAUUCGUCCUAUAG
This 199-nucleotide non-coding RNA is filed under the name Lentilactobacillus senioris. RNAcentral's name for it is "Lactobacillus senioris T-box sequence". It matches the Rfam family "T-box leader". Rfam says of the family: Uncharged tRNA acts as the effector for transcription antitermination of genes in the T-box leader family. T-boxes are found upstream of many aminoacyl-tRNA synthetase genes and some amino acid biosynthetic genes usually in Gram-positive bacteria. Lineage: Bacteria; Bacillati; Bacillota; Bacilli; Lactobacillales; Lactobacillaceae. The record is from RNAcentral.